GGAGUUAGCCGGUGCUUCUUCUGUGAGUGAUGUCCUUCCUGCCGGCUAUUAACCCGCAGGCCUUCUUCCUCACUGAAAGUGCUUUACAACCCGAAGGCCUUCUUCACACACGCGGCAUGGCUGGAUCAGGGUUGCCCCCAUUGUCCAAUAUUCCCCACUGCUGCCUCCCGUAGGAGUCUGGGCCGUGUCUCAGUCCCAGUGUGGCUGAUCAUCCUCUCAGACCAGCUACGGAUCGUCGCCUUGGUGAGCCGUUACCUCACCAACCAGCUAAUCCGACAUAGGCUCAUCCGAUAGCGCGAGGCCCGAAGGUCCCCCGCUUUCCCCCGUAGGGCGUAUGCGGUAUUAGCCUGGGUUUCCCCAGGUUAUCCCCCACUACCGGGCAGAUUCCUAUGCAUUACUCACCCGUCCGCCGCUACGUCCACCUCGGAAGACGACGUCACCGUCGCUCGACCGUCGUCCGACUUGUCGUUAAGUCGUACGUACCGGCCCUAGCCGGUCCGUACCGUCGUUCGACUCUAGUACGAACUACUAGUACUAACGUACGUCGGGA
This 550-nucleotide ribosomal RNA is filed under the name uncultured bacterium. Its description in RNAcentral is "partial 16S ribosomal RNA". The record is from RNAcentral.